Molecule: long non-coding RNA, 929 nt
Filed under: Coturnix japonica (Japanese quail)
Lineage: Eukaryota; Metazoa; Chordata; Aves; Galliformes; Phasianidae
Description: lncRNA (ENSCJPG00005003662.1)
Source: RNAcentral
AAACCAUUGUUCCCAAAUAACACAGCUUGUGACAGAAGAGAAGAGUGAACAUGAGUCACAAUUCCACCAUCAUUUUAAGUGGGCAAUGUCCACUAUCAGUGCCACAACCAGACUUGCACCUGCCCUUCCCUUGACCAUGGCUGCUUGGUUUGGUAGACUUCAACUCUUCACUUCCUCAUAGAAUCAUAAAACUGUGGAAUCAUCACAGAAUCAGUAAGUGGUUUGGGUUAGGGAGGGAAUCAUAGAACUAUGGGCCCAUUCAGCUCCAGUCCCCUGCCAUGAGCCAGCUGCCACACACCAGAUCAGCCUGCCCAGGGCCCCAUUCAGCACUGGGCAACUCCAGGGCUUGGGCACCCACAGUUUCACCAUCCCCUGAGCAAAGAAUUUCUUUGUAAUAUCCAAACUAAAUUUCCCCCUCUUUUAGUUUAAAGCCAUUCCCCCUUAUCUAAUCAUUUUUAGACCUUGAACCUGUGCAAAUGAAGUGCCAGUAUGAAAAAAACCAUGAAAUUCAGUAGAGAAUUGCCCACAUGACUACACAGGCUCCUGAGAAGCUUGAAAAUGGAGCACCUAGUACCAUAAUGAACACACUGUACAGUGGCUGUGAUGUCUGUACAUGAAAGUGUUGUGUUAAAGCCUCACAACACCAUCAGAAUGCCUUCUUGUGAAGAUAUUGUCCUUAUAAAUCAUUGGAAGGGAAUUUGCAAUCCAGACCAACCAGGAGAUCAGACAGCAAGGAGAUGGCUCCGAAAGCCUGAGAUGAGGAGGAUGUCACUUUAAGCCAUCCUGCCCCAGGGGGUGUCAGUGAGUGGUCAUCUCAUGAAGUCUUUUAUGCCCUCUUCAAGGCUCGUGAAGCUGUCAGUGGAAGUGCUACAUCUUCACACUUCAGUGAACUUCAGUACUACUUGUAAAAAAACAUGAUAGUAAAUUUU